This is a long non-coding RNA of Carcharodon carcharias (great white shark), 3388 nucleotides long. RefSeq lists it as uncharacterized. Lineage: Eukaryota; Metazoa; Chordata; Chondrichthyes; Lamniformes; Lamnidae. The record is from RefSeq and is a predicted model, not a curated record. The transcript has 3 exons.
CCCUGACUGCAGCCCCACAGCAGCUGAAACUGAAACAGUACGUUCCUCAGCUCCCGACUUUCUCCAACAGGUCAGCUCCACUCCGCUCCGCCUCUCAGCAUGGUAGGCUGUUCUGCAAUCCCCGGUCUGUAUUUAUAGGUGCUCCUCAGCUCCUGGCAGACUCCUGCAGGUCCACUUCGACUCCCAGCAAGCAGAGCCAUGAGAAUCAACCCGGCAUGCCAUGAACAUUCCUCCAGUGUGUCUUUGGUGUCAAGCUCCAGCAUCUUCUGCUCCUCAGAAGUCCAUGAUGUGGACAAGGCCUUGACAAGGAAACCGUACCAGAGAAGUGAAGGUUGCAAAAGACAUAUCGAAAAUUGAGCGUGAAGAAAAAUGGAGCACCAGCCCAAGGGGAAGGCACCAAGAUUCAGUGAUACCAUGCUGUUGUAAAAUUGGAUAUGUUGUUGGAAAAAGAUGUUAUGGAGAGGUUUUUGUGGGUGGCUUUUAUUAUUGGCUGGUGGCUAAGGGAACACUAUAAUGGGGCAUCUCAGCUGGAUGUAAGGGUGAACAAUGGUAAAUUAGUGUGGAGAAGUUGUUUCAUGGGAACAUAGGAACCAGAGAAGGCCAUUCAGCCCCUUGAGCCUGCCAUUGAAUAAUGUGACCUAAUUCCAUAUACCUGCCUUUGCCUCAUAACAAAGAAUACUUUCUGAUAACAAAAAUCUCUUAAUUUCAGAUUUAAAAUUUUCUCUUGAUCUAGCAUCAUAUUGCCACUUGCAGAAGAGAGUUCCAAACUUCUACUACUCUUUGUGUGUAUGAGUGUUUCCUAAUUUCACUGCUGAAAGGUCUCGUUCUAAUUUUUAGGCCAUGCUCCUCUAGUCCUAGUCUCCUCAACCAAUAGAAACAGUUUCUCUCUAUCUACCCUAUCUGAUCCUCUUAAUAUCUUGAAAUUUAAGCUUGAUGAUUUGCUCUCUCACAGACAAGGGGUCCAGGAUACUUCCUCCCUGACACCUCCUGUUUCUCCUCCUGUUCCUUCUCCUACUGAGUUGGCCUCUGGAUCCUGGCGAUAAUGGCUGCACCAUCAUAAUGGUGAAGUUGUAUAGAGCGCAGCCAACCACCACAAACUUUAAGAUCCACUCUGGGCUGGACUGGAAUGCAGUGCUUCCUGGGCAAUCAAGGCAUAAGAAGUGUUGUUCCAAGUGCUUCUUGCAGGCCUGCCCUACUCAAGUGUUGGGAUUGUGGAGGGGAAUCACCAGCCAUGUAGAAAGAGAUUAGCCCCUGUCCCCGGGCAGCCAGCCUCUGGUUCCUCUAGGAAGGCCAAAGACAGUGGUUAGGGCUGACUGGCAUAGGAGGAAUUCAUCAUGGCUGCAUUCGCCAAAUGAUGAUCUAGGAAGGGUCACACACCAACUGCACAUUUAAGGAAUGGAAGAUCUUGCAGUUCCUAAGCCUCUCCCCACUGACAUGGGGGCCUGCAAAAACACAUGGGUGCUGCCGAUUGUACACUCUGCAUCACUGGGAUCGUGCUAUCCUAGAUGGCAUACUGGGAAGUAUUAAUGUCUCCCAUUCCCCAACUGUGAGAUGUAAACAUUGGGGGCGAUGGUGACCUUUAUGGUCACAGGCAGAGUUGUCCUCGCCUUGGUGUGAGGUUCCAGGUCGGUUGGAAAGAGGUGGCACACUUUACUGACCACCUCCUUAUUGAACCUGGGUUGCCUCAGGUGUAGGUACAAGAAAAUCCUUGGCGUGUACAGCCUUCUUUGUAGAGUCCUCCUCCUCCUUCCUCACACAGCUUCCCCAUCUGCUCUGUUUCCUGGUCCUGUUGCAGAACCAGAAAUGCUGUAACCAUAGUCCCCAAAACUGAGUCAGGUAUUCCUCUGUACUCGCUGAUUGUAAGCACCAACUCUGAAACCAACUCCAGAAAAAAAGCACAGCAAUUCCAGUAACUCAGCCCUGGCAUAAGUAAAUCAAACAACUCACCUGCAACCUGUUGACUGGCCCUCUAAAUAGUGCUGGUGCUGCUGAAUGCUUGAUCUUUGUUGCGUGAUGUGCAAAUUCAUUGAAUGGACCUGGGUGCUCCAAAUCUAGAAAAUGGGCAUCGCAUCAGCUGGUUGAGCUCUGUAGCAUCAUGACCUCAUCCUGUUCCAUUUUCUCUGGCGCUUGCAGGCGCACCUGCCUGAGUGCCAUUCUCCAGCUGGUGGUGAAGCGCCAGGAGUUCUGGAAGCCAUUGGCAGUGCAGUGCAAAUCCCCAGCAGGAUGUUUAACUUCAGUAGUGCUGUCUCCACUGAUGCUACCGGUCAAAAUUCACACCUAAAAUGUCAAUAUUCAGAUUUUUAAAAAUCUCAGUAUAAGACCUCCAUUGUUUUGGUGCACUGGAGUACGUGUCAUAAGAUUUUGUUGAAGUGAUUAAGAUUCCUGUGGUUGAACAUUCCUCCAGUAUGCUACCCAAAGGAAGGGCUGUAGCAGCAUAAAAGGGUGGAAAUCCAGCGAAGAGGACCCCCAGUGCUGAACUUAGACAUAUGUAACGGAUGUCACGGAGGUGGGCUUAGAAAUCUGCACAAAGUUUCUUGCUUUCUAGCAGUACUGCCACUGAUUCCGGGCACCACCAGGGAAGUAUAGUGGGUGUCCUUGGGAAGCAGUGGAAGGCCUUCUGAUGGCUCUUUUGUUGGGAUGCGGCGCAGCAAUAUAGUCACCUAUCCCUUUUCUUCGGCCCCAAACCAUACUUCCUCUAGAUCUUGACUCAGUAUGAAGUCUAAAAAAAAAUCUUCAGGUCUUAGGAUCCCUUUUGGCUUGCCCCUCCUCUUCUGGUGCUCCAGCAGUGUCCCAUUGCAGUAUUGCUGUAUUUUUGUUCCUGCAGUGGUAGGGUCCCUCUUAGUUAUAUUAAUCCUAAUGGGAGCCCGGUGUGUGUGGUUUACCAGCCCAGAUCCAAGAAAAUGGGUUAGGGCAAUGGCAGAGUUGGAGCAGCAAGCUUAGGUCCUGUCCCAACUCACCUUUGGUAGAAAACACACCCUAGAGAAAAUCUAACCCAUGGAAUUAAUAGCAAAUUAGCUGAUUAGAUCUUCGUAAUGGAAAGAAGAAGGUAUAAAGGUAUCAAGGUGAAAGAAGGUAUCAAAGGUAUAAAGUUCUAAGUGGGUUUGGGAAGUAACUGACGGAGCUCUACAGGACCUAUUUUUCGUGUUCAAUUCACGCUACUAUAAAUGAUGGAGAAAGGUGUACUACUAGCAAUGUUAUAUAAGUUGCAAAAGUGGCAAUGUAACAGUGAUGAAGAAGAGUUAGAGGGACUGAAGCAAUGAAAUAAAUAAAGAACAACAGAUGAAUAUUGUAUAAAUAUAACAACAUAGUUGUAUGUGCAACUUUUGUAUACCAUAAAGAGGUAUCCAUUAGCAAAGCUGGAAAAUAAAAAAAAAUGCUUGAAUAUUGA